UCAUAUUUCAGAUCUGGAAAGAGUGGUAUGUGAGCAAGUGCUACCUUCUACUUCUCAAAGGACUGAACAAAAUUUAGGCAGGAAAAUAUCUGCUAGGACCUUUAAGCUCUCCAGGCCAGAAAUAAAUGUACGGAUGAAAAUAAUGGCUG
Long non-coding RNA from Melitaea cinxia (Glanville fritillary), 149 nucleotides. RefSeq lists it as uncharacterized. The transcript is spliced from 2 exons. The record is from RefSeq and is a predicted model, not a curated record. Lineage: Eukaryota; Metazoa; Arthropoda; Insecta; Lepidoptera; Nymphalidae.